RNAcentral lists this ribosomal RNA (424 nucleotides) under uncultured bacterium. Its description in RNAcentral is "partial 16S ribosomal RNA". It matches the Rfam family "Bacterial small subunit ribosomal RNA", at positions 360 to 776 of the family's 1533-position model. The record is from RNAcentral.
AAUAUUGGACAAUGGGGGCAACCUUGAUCCAGCCAUGCCGCGUGUGUGAAGAAGGUCUUCGGUUUGUAAAGUCCUUUAAGUUGGGAGGAAGGGCUUUAGGCUAACACCCUGAAGCUUUGACGUUACCAACAGAAUGCCCACCGGCUAACUCUGUUCCAGCAGCCGCGGUAAUACAGCGGGUGCAAGCGUUAAUCGGAAUUACUGGGCGUAAAGCGCGCGUAGGUGGUUCAGUAAGAUGGGUGUGAAAUCCCCGGGCUUAACCUGGGAACUGCUUUCAUAACUGCUGAGCUAGAGUACGGUAGAGGGUAGUGGAAUUUCCUGUGUAGCGGUGAAAUGCGUAGAUAUAGGAAGGAACACCAGUGGCGAAGGCGACUACCUGGACUGAUACUGACACUGAGGUGCGAAAGCGUGGGGAGCAAACAGG